Long non-coding RNA from Eucalyptus grandis, 717 nucleotides. RefSeq lists it as uncharacterized. The record is from RefSeq and is a predicted model, not a curated record. The transcript has 3 exons. Lineage: Eukaryota; Viridiplantae; Streptophyta; Magnoliopsida; Myrtales; Myrtaceae.
GCAACCCUCCUUUAGAGCUAAGGUUUCCAUGACAAGGGCAGAAGGAGCAAGGACUUUCUUGGCGAAUCCACCCACAAGACGCCCACGAUGGUCUCUGCAAACCCCAACAACCGCUCCUUGUUUUGAGGCGCAACACCAAGACCCAUCCACAGUUAAUUUUAGCGAGCUUGUUGUUAGUGGAACAUAAGAGGAGGAGAUGCUCGAGUGUUUCUGGGGCAUCUUGGCAAAUUGGGCAGAGUGGAUCAGGUUCAAAUUCGGGACAUCCUCCAAAAUUUACCUAGGAAAGGAAUCAAUUCGAAACCCACUAAUACCUAUUGCUGGAGCGGAAGAAGCAUGGAUGAAGGGAGCUCUAAACAGAUGCCAUCUCUAUUUCACUAGCAUUUCUUUGCCCAGAAACCAGAAUAAAUCCAUUCUCGCAAGAAGCUUUAUGUAUUGGGAGGUAGAAAGAUGAUGGUAGGACCAUUGCUACAAGAGGAAAGAUUUCAUUGUAAAGAUGGAUUCAUAGGGUGUAGUGGUAUGUGUUCAUGUUAAGGGAUUUUGAUUGGCAGGUGGAUAGAAUCCAUUUAGGCUAGGAGAUUUAGGGCUUGGAAUACACUAUUGCCAUGGAUAGAGAUGAAACUCUUCCGAGGAAGAGAGGGACUCUUAUAGGAAGAGAGUAUUCUGGACAUAUGCUGAAUCGGUGUAAAAUUGAUUAACAGACUAAAAAAUCUGACAAGA